This 40-nucleotide ribosomal RNA is filed under the name Pseudosigmoidea ibarakiensis. RNAcentral's name for it is "partial 28S ribosomal RNA". Lineage: Eukaryota; Fungi; Ascomycota; Dothideomycetes; Venturiales; Sympoventuriaceae. The record is from RNAcentral.
GUUUGGCCUCGGAUCAGGCGGGGAUACCCGCUGAACUUAA